This 505-nucleotide ribosomal RNA is filed under the name uncultured bacterium. Its description in RNAcentral is "partial 16S ribosomal RNA". It matches the Rfam family "Bacterial small subunit ribosomal RNA", at positions 28 to 507 of the family's 1533-position model. The record is from RNAcentral.
GACGAACGCUGGCGGCGUGCCUAAUACAUGCAAGUAGAACGCACAGUUUAUACCGUAGCUUGCUACACCAUAGACUGUGAGUUGCGAACGGGUGAGUAACGCGUAGGUAACCUGCCUGGUAGCGGGGGAUAACUAUUGGAAACGAUAGCUAAUACCGCAUAAUAUUAAUUAUUGCAUGAUAAUUAAUUGAAAGGUGCAAUUGCACCACUACCAGAUGGACCUGCGUUGUAUUAGCUAGUAGGGGAGGUAACGGCUCACCUAGGCGACGAUACAUAGCCGACCGUGGAGGGGGAUCGGCCAACCUGGGAAUGAGACACGGCCCAGACUCCUACGGGAGGCAGCAGUAGGGAAUCUUCGGCAAUAGACGAAAGUCUGACCGAGCAACGCCGCGUGAGGGAAGAAGGGUUUCGGAUCGUAAAGCUCGGUUGUAAGAGAAGAACGGGUGUGAGAGUGGAAAGUUCACACUGUGACGGUAGCUUACCAGAAAGGGACGGCUAACUACGUG